GGGUUAUCCAGUCACUGGAGCUGCUACUAGGAAAAUCAGUAAAGCAGGAGGAAAUAAGGAAAGUUUUGUGUUGAAAAGAGUGGCAGGAGGAAAAAAAAAAACAAAACUGAAGAGGAGACAUUCUGGAAUAUGAAACUGUUCUCUCAAUUUCCAGGAAGAGGCAUGGCAUAUUUUUUUCUUCAUCAUAUCACCAAAGGAAAAAUAAAAGAAUCAUUGAAAGUAUACAAGGUAGGGAAAUAUCAGUCUAUUCGUUCUUACAGUCCAGUUGUCAGCAUACCAU
This 280-nucleotide long non-coding RNA is filed under the name Coturnix japonica (Japanese quail). RNAcentral describes it as "lncRNA (ENSCJPG00005008380.1)". Lineage: Eukaryota; Metazoa; Chordata; Aves; Galliformes; Phasianidae. The record is from RNAcentral.